RNAcentral lists this ribosomal RNA (253 nucleotides) under uncultured bacterium. RNAcentral describes it as "partial 16S ribosomal RNA". It matches the Rfam family "Bacterial small subunit ribosomal RNA", at positions 524 to 776 of the family's 1533-position model. The record is from RNAcentral.
UACGAGGGGGGCUAGCGUUGCUCGGAAUCACUGGGCGUAAAGCGCACGUAGGCGGCUUUUUAAGUCAGGGGUGAAAUCCUGGAGCUCAACUCCAGAACUGCCUUUGAUACUGGGAAGCUCGAGUCCGGGAGAGGUGAGUGGAACUCCGAGUGUAGAGGUGAAAUUCGUAGAUAUUUGGAAGAACACCAGUGGCGAAGGCGGCUCACUGGCCCGGUACUGACGCUGAGGUGCGAAAGCGUGGGGAGCAAACAGG